UACGAAGGGUGCAAACGUUGCUCGGAAUUACUGGGCGUAAAGCGCGUGUAGGCGGCUUGGCAAGUCGGGUGUGAAAGCCCUGGGCUCAACCUAGGAAGUGCACUCGAAACUGCCUCGCUUGAGUGUCGGAGAGGAAAGCGGAAUUCUCGGUGUAGAGGUGAAAUUCGUAGAUAUCGAGAGGAACACCGGUGGCGAAGGCGGCUUUCUGGACGAUAACUGACGCUGAGACGCGAAAGCGUGGGGAGCAAACAGG
This 253-nucleotide ribosomal RNA is filed under the name uncultured bacterium. RNAcentral describes it as "partial 16S ribosomal RNA". It matches the Rfam family "Bacterial small subunit ribosomal RNA", at positions 524 to 776 of the family's 1533-position model. The record is from RNAcentral.